Molecule: long non-coding RNA, 1487 nt
Organism: Nerophis ophidion (straightnose pipefish)
Lineage: Eukaryota; Metazoa; Chordata; Actinopteri; Syngnathiformes; Syngnathidae
Exons: 2
Source: RefSeq, a predicted model, not a curated record
AGUGAAGUUUUUUUCCCCUGCAUGUACCUUGAAGUUUUUUGCUAUAAUCAAAUUUGAAAAUGAUGAGCACGAUAAGGACACCUGCAAAGAUGGAAGCCAUGAUGCCAACCAUUCUGGCCAUUGAUAUGUUGCCUGUGAAAGGAACACAAAAGUCAUAGUAACAAUUCUGUGUAUAGUCAUGUUAAUAUAGCAAUCACAUUUUAAUAUACCACCUUCAUUUUAAUUGAUUAUAUUUACCAGAUAAGCAGUCCUUAGCAGUGAAUGUGGCUCUUGCAUUGGUCAGAGGGUUGCUGAAUUCACAAACAUGAAUUUGAUCAAGAUUGUCAGACAGAGAUAUCGUUAAAUUUGGUGCAGUUUGCUUGUUUCCACCUGAUCUCCACUUAAACUCUAAUAAAUGAGAAUGUUUGGACUCUGUUGAGCACAUGAGCGUCGCCUGGUAUGUGUCCAUCAUCUCACACCUUAUGUUGGGUGUGGAUACUUUGUCUGAAAACAUAAAGAAGAAGCAUCAGAACCUGGACAAUUUAAAAUUGAAUACUACUAAAUAUCCUGUUCCCUAUUAAGUUGGAGUGUAAUAGGAUUUAUGAUUUAUAAGAUCUCUGCCUUUUUGCAGAUGAUGUGGUCCUGAUGGCUUCAUCUGGCCAGGAUCUUCAGCUCUCACUGGAUCGGUUUGCAGGAGAGUGUGAAGCGAUUGGGAUGAGAAUCAGCACCUCCAAGUCCGAGUCCAUGGUUCUCGCCCGGAAGAGGAUGGAGUGGCUUCUCCGGGUUGGGGAAGAUAUCUUGCCCCAUGUGGAGGACUUCAAAUACCUCGGAGUCUUGUUCACGAAUGAAGGAAGAGUGGAUCGUGAGAUCAACAAGCGUAGCGGUGCAGUGUCUUCAGUAAUGCGGACGCUGUAUCAAUCCGUUGUGGUGAACAAGGAGCUGAGCUGGAAGGCAAAGCUCUCAAUUUACCGGUCGAUCUACGUUCCCAUCCUCACCUAUGGUCAUGAACUUUGGGUUAUGACCGAAAAGACAAAAAUGAGUUUCCUCCGCCGGGCUCUCCCUUAGAGAUAGGGUGAGAAGCUCUGUCAUCCGGGGGGAGCUCAAAGUAAAGCCGCUGCUCCUCCACAUCGAGAGGAGCCAGAUGAGGUGGUCCGGGCAUUAGGAUGCCACCCGAACGCCUUCUUAGGGAGGUGUUUAGGGCACGUCUGACCGGUAGGAGGCCACGGUUAGAACCCAAGACACGUUGGGAAGACUAUGUCUCCAGGCUGGCCUGGGAACGCCUCUGGAUCCCCCGGGAGGAGCUGAACGAAGUGGCUGGAGAGAGGGAAGUCUGGGCUUCUCUGCUUAGGCUGCUGCCCCCGCCACCCGACCUCGGAUAAGCCGAAGAAGAUGGAUGGAUGGAUGGUAAUAGUUUCCGCUGUGUUCAUACGUGGCGUUUUGGAUGGUCAGCAUUGUGGAGUCCCAGUCGAGAGUUACUCUGUUCUCAUAUGGUUGGAACACUAUCUCCA